GAUGAACGCUGGCGGCGUGCCUAAUACAUGCAAGUCGAGCGAACAGACGAGGAGCUUGCUCCUCUGACGUUAGCGGCGGACGGGUGAGUAACACGUGGAUAACCUACCUAUAAGACUGGGAUAACUUCGGGAAACCGGAGCUAAUACCGGAUAAUAUAUUGAACCGCAUGGUUCAAUAGUGAAAGACGGUUUUGCUGUCACUUAUAGAUGGAUCCGCGCCGCAUUAGCUAGUUGGUAAGGUAACGGCUUACCAAGGCGACGAUGCGUAGCCGACCUGAGAGGGUGAUAGGCCACACUGGAACGGAGCCGGGGUCCAGACUCCUGCGGGAGGCAGCAGUAGGGAAUGUUCCGCAAUGGGCGAAAGCCUGACGGAGCAACGCCGCGUGAGUGAUGAAGGUCUUCGGAUCGUAAAACUCUGUUAUUAGGGAAGAACAAAUGUGUAAGUAACUAUGCACGUCGUGACGGUACCUGAUCAGAAAGCCACGGCUAACUACGUG
Molecule: ribosomal RNA, 497 nt
Filed under: uncultured bacterium
Lineage: Bacteria
Description: partial 16S ribosomal RNA
Rfam family: Bacterial small subunit ribosomal RNA
Source: RNAcentral